UACGUAGGGGGCAAGCGUUGUCCGGAUUUAUUGGGCGUAAAGAGCGUGUAGGCGGCCACACAGGUCAGCUGUGAAAACUCGAGGCUCAACCUCGAGACGUCGGUUGAAACCGUUUGGCUAGAGUCCGGAAGAGGAGAGUGGAAUUCCCGGUGUAGCGGUGAAAUGCGCAGAUAUCGGGAAGAACACCCGUGGCGAAGGCGGCUCUCUGGACCGUAACUGACGCUGAGGCGCGAAAGCGUGGGGAGCAAACAGG
Molecule: ribosomal RNA, 253 nt
Filed under: uncultured bacterium
Lineage: Bacteria
Description: partial 16S ribosomal RNA
Rfam family: Bacterial small subunit ribosomal RNA
Source: RNAcentral